GAUGAACGCUGGCGGCGUGCUUAACACAUGCAAGUCGAACGAUGAAGCCCAGCUUGCUGGGUGGAUUAGUGGCGAACGGGUGAGUAACACGUGAGUAACCUGCCCUUAACUCUGGGAUAAGCCUGGGAAACUGGGUCUAAUACCGGAUAGGAGCGCCUACCGCAUGGUGGGUGUUGGAAAGAUUUAUCGGUUUUGGAUGGACUCGCGGCCUAUCAGCUUGUUGGUGAGGUAAUGGCUCACCAAGGCGACGACGGGUAGCCGGCCUGAGAGGGUGACCGGCCACACUGGGACUGAGACACGGCCCAGACUCCUACGGGAGGCAGCAGUGGGGAAUAUUGCACAAUGGGCGUAAGCCUGAUGCAGCGACGCCGCGUGAGGGAUGACGGCCUUCGGGUUGUAAACCUCUUUCAGUAGGGAAGAAGCGAAAGUGACGGUACCUGCAGAAGAAGCACCGGCUAACUACGUG
RNAcentral lists this ribosomal RNA (466 nucleotides) under uncultured bacterium. Its description in RNAcentral is "partial 16S ribosomal RNA". It matches the Rfam family "Bacterial small subunit ribosomal RNA", at positions 28 to 507 of the family's 1533-position model. The record is from RNAcentral.